CGUGUGGUUUGGUGUUUUUUUCUAAAGUUCACUACUCUCAUUCAUAUCACUUUCCUCUUCUUUUUGGAUUGGAAUGUUCAGUGCACUGAGGUUUUCUUCGGUGUGGACUGCAGAGCAAGGAUGAAGCAACAGUCUACUUUGGGCAAAAUACGGCUCGCGUGCAGUCCUCUCCUCCGGCGACAUCUACCUUGGAUACGAGACAAGGUUCACAUGUUGUGUGUGUGCAGCUCGGCGCACAGCGAGUGCACUUCACUAUUAUGGGAUUUGUUGCUGUUGGGAAUGCGUUUAAUUAUUUGUUGAGAAAUUCAUUUUAAUAUGCA
Long non-coding RNA from Triticum aestivum (bread wheat), 320 nucleotides. RefSeq lists it as uncharacterized. The record is from RefSeq and is a predicted model, not a curated record. NCBI's taxonomy places the organism in Eukaryota, Viridiplantae, Streptophyta, Magnoliopsida, Poales, Poaceae. The transcript has 2 exons.